This 3575-nucleotide small RNA is filed under the name Pan troglodytes (chimpanzee). Its description in RNAcentral is "retained intron". The record is from RNAcentral. Lineage: Eukaryota; Metazoa; Chordata; Mammalia; Primates; Hominidae.
AUUGGCGAUUUGAAAGCGGCGGUUUUUGGCUUAGGCGGAGGUGGGCGGGCCAAGUUUUGGGUCCUCAUCUGGUGAGGUCCCGCGUUAAUGACGUCACAUUGUUUCGCGGGAGAAAUUCGAAAGUGGAUUUUGUGCAAUUUGACAGGUGGUAUAAAUAGUUGAAUAUUUCCUAUUUUCUGGACCCAGCUGGUUUAUAACUUCAGAAGAAAUAAUGGAAAGCCAAGAAUUUAUUGUUCUAUAUACUCAUCAAAAGAUGAAGAAAUCAAAAGUGUGGCAAGAUGGAAUUCUGAAGAUCACUCACUUAGGAAACAAAGCAAUUUUAUAUGAUGACAAAGGAGCAUGUUUGGAGAGUCUGUUUCUUAAAUGCCUUGAGGUGAAACCUGGAGAUGACUUAGAAAGUGAUCGAUACUUAAUCACAGUUGAAGAGGUUAAAGUUGCUGGAGCCAUAGGUACUGUUAAGCAGAAUGUCAAUAAAGAAGCACCAGAGUUAAAUUCAAGGACAUUUAUAUCCUCUGGCCGAUCUCUUGGAUGUCAGCCCUCUGGCUUAAAAAGGAAGUUUACUGGUUUUCAAGGACCACGUCAGGUUCCAAAGAAAAUGGUUAUUAUGGAAAGUGGUGAAUCAGCUGCAUCACAUGAGGCUAAGAAAACUGGCCCUACUAUUUUUUCUCCAUUCUACAGCAUGCCUCCUUUGUUUCCUACUGUUGGCAAGAAAGAUGUAAAUAAUAUACUGGCAGACCCUGAGAACAUUGUGACUUACAAGAACAGGGAGAGAAAUGCCAUGGAUUUUUCUUCAGUUUUUUCUCCAUCCUUCCAGAUUAACCCAGAAGUGCUGUGUGAAGAAAAUUAUUUUUGCUCUCCUGUCAAUUCUGGAAAUAAGCUUUCAGACUCUUUACUGACCAAUGAGCCUGUGAAAAGAGAUAGUUUGGCAUCUCACUAUUCAGGAGUUUCACAAAACAUCAGAAGCAAAGCACAGAUAUUAGCUCUUCUGAAGUCCGAAUCAUCUAGUUCAUGUGAGGAACUAAAUUCUGAGAUGACAGAGUGUUUUCCUCAAAGACAACCACAAGGAAGUUUAAAAAUUGCUACUAAACCAAAGUACCUAAUUCAACAGGAAGAGUGUGCUGAGAUGAAGAGCACAGAAAAUUUAUACUACCAGCAUCAAUCAGAAAAUACCAUGAGAAAUAAAAGCCGGUGGGCCAUGUAUUUAUCCUCACAGAGUUCACCUAUACAUUCUUCUACUGUAGAUGGGAAUGAUACAGAAAGGAAACCCAAGGCCCAGGAAGAUGAUGUAAAUUCUAAUUUGAAAGACCUUUCAUUACAAAAAAAUAUACAGUUCGUUGAAACAUGUGCUGAAGAGAGGAAAAAGUAUAAUGUAGACCAGUCAGUCGGUAAUAAUGAUCCAUCCUGGAAUCAGGAAGUAAAAUUAGAAAUUCCUUCAUUCAAUGAAAGCAGUAGCUUACAGGUUACUUGUAGCAGUGCAGAAAAUGAUGGUAUAUUAUCAGAAUCCGACAUUCAAGAAGAUAAUAAAAUACCUUUUAAUCAAAAUGACAAGGGGUGCAUUAAAGGAUCAGUUCUCAUUAAAGAAAAUGCUCAGGAGGUAAAUACAUGUGGAACACUGGAAAAGGAGUGUGAACAAUCAGAGUCAUCUCUGCCAGAACUGAAACAUCUCCAAAUUGAAUCUAGUAAUAAUUCUAGGAUCUCUGAUGACAUUACAGACAUGAUUUCUGAAAGUAAAAUGGAUAAUGAAAGUCUUAAUAGUAUUCAUGAAUCUCUGAGUAAUGUAACACAACCAUUUUUGGAGGUAACUUUUAAUCUGAACAAUUUUGAGACCAGUGACACUGAGGAAGAAUCACAGGAAAGCAACAAAAUUUCCCAGGAUUCAGAGAGUUGGGUAAAGGACAUUUUGGUUAAUGAUGGCAAUUCAUGUUUUCAAAAGAGGUCUGAGAAUACAAACUGUGAAGAGAUUGAGGGUGAACAUUUGCCAUUCUUAACAUCUGUUAGUGACAAACCUACAGUGACAUUUCCUGUUAAAGAGACUCUGCCAUCACAGUUUUGUGAUAAAACUUAUGUGGGUUUUGACAUGGGAAUAUGUAAAACUGAAAACAGAGGAAAAGAAAUAGAGGAGUAUAGUGACACAUUAAGCAAUUUUGAAUCUUUCAAGUGGACUGAUGCUGUAUACGGAGAUAAUAAAGAAGAUGCUAAUAAACCUAUUCAAGAAGUCAGAAUUAACUAUGAUUUUGCUUUACCCCCGAAUAAAUCUAAAGGUAUAAACAUGAAUUUACAUAUUCCUCAUAUUCAAAACCAGAUUGCUGAAAACAGUAAUCUAUUUUCAGAAAAUGCUCAACCUCAGCCUUUUAUUUUGGGAAGUGACUUAGACAAAAAUGAUGAACAUGUUUUACCCUCAACUUCUAGUAGUGACAACAGUGUCCAACUAUUAAAUACCAAUCAGAAUCACUAUGAAUGUAUUGCACUUGAUAAAUCAAAUACCCACAUUUCCAGUUCUUUGUUUUACCCACUGGGAAAGAAGCAUCUUAUUUCCAAAGACACAGAAGCACAUAUAUCUGAACCUGAAGAUUUGGGAAAGAUUAGAAGUCCACCCCCUGACCAUGUUGAGGUUGAAACUGCCAGAGAAGGCAAACAAUACUGGAAUCCUAGAAAUUCUUCAGAACUUUCUGGAUUAGUAAAUACCAUUUCUAUUUUAAAGUCGCUAUCUGAACACAGUACUGCUUUAGACAGCUUGGAAAUAUUGAAAAAGAAAAAUACUGUCUUUCAGCAAGGAACUCAACAGACGUAUGAGCCAGAUAGCAGUCCUGAAGUGAGGAAACCAUUUAUUACAGUAGUUUCACCAAAGUCUCCUCAUCUGCACAAGGAUUCUCAACAGAUACUAAAAGAAGAUGAAGUUGAACUAAGUGAACCACUUCAGUCUGUGCAGACAGGUUCUUACUCUGUCACCCAGACUAGAGUGCAGUGGCACAGUCACAGCUCACUGCAGCCUUGACCUCCAGCGCUCAAGCCAUCCUCCUGCUUCAGCCUCCCAAGUAGCUGGGACCACAGUUCUCUUCCUCGGGAAGUAAAGAAGAGACUGCUUUUCAAGCUGUUAUUCCUAAACAAAUAGAGAGAAAAACCUGUGACCCUAAGGUAAAAUUUGUGAAGAACAUCGAUUUCUUUAACCAACUAUAUUUUCUUUUCUGUUUUAAAAAAAAAACCAAAAAAGCAAGUAUCAGAGUUUUCACAGGCAGAAGGUUAGUAGCAUAAUAAAUAAGUCUGGUUUUAAGAACAAGAAAAACUAUUUAAUGACUCCUGCCCCCCUUUUUGGUCUUAAACUUUCUCUAUACUACUAAUGAGCUAAUAAUAACAGUGUUUACAUUAUCCUUCCAUACAUAGGAUACUCUAGGGGUUGGACACAAAGCCAUGUAGAGUAAAAUUAAUGAAUACUCUGUGGGUGAGUAUCUUUAUACCCUUUAACUUAUUAUAGUCUAUUCUACCACUUAUACUUCUGAGUAUAUAGAAGUAUACGUAACCAACAUCUAAGUAGUGCUACCUAAUCUAUAUCAAAAAUUAACAAUGACAACAGCAUA